The sequence is a regulatory RNA element, 121 nucleotides long. It matches the Rfam family "Ribosomal protein L10 leader". Rfam says of the family: This family is a putative r-protein leader autoregulatory structure found in B. subtilis and other low-GC Gram-positive bacteria. It is located in the 5' untranslated regions of mRNAs encoding ribosomal proteins L10 and L12 (rplJ-rplL). The record is from Rfam.
CUCUAUAUGUGAAUUCUACCUAAGACUCAGGUGACGCAAGUCUCAAUAUCCUGCCGAGGCCAGAAGAUAAGUGAGUUAAUUAAACUCCAUGUCUUUAGGCAUGGAGUUUUUAUUUGGCUAU